RNAcentral lists this ribosomal RNA (253 nucleotides) under uncultured bacterium. RNAcentral's name for it is "partial 16S ribosomal RNA". It matches the Rfam family "Bacterial small subunit ribosomal RNA", at positions 524 to 776 of the family's 1533-position model. The record is from RNAcentral.
UACGUAGGGAGCAAGCGUUGUCCGGAAUCAUUGGGCGUAAAGCGCGCGUAGGUGGCCUCAUAAGUCCGUUGUGAAAGUCAAAGGCUCAACCUUUGAAAGCCGAUGGAUACUGUUAGGCUAGAGUCCGGAAGAGGCGAGUGGAAUUCCUGGUGUAGCGGUGGAAUGCGCAGAUAUCAGGAGGAACACCAAUAGCGAAGGCAGCUCGCUGGGACGGUACUGACACUAAGGCGCGAAAGCGUGGGGAGCGAACAGG